Non-coding RNA from Podarcis lilfordi (Lilford's wall lizard), 109 nucleotides. The record is from the annotation of a GenBank genome assembly. NCBI's taxonomy places the organism in Eukaryota, Metazoa, Chordata, Lepidosauria, Squamata, Lacertidae.
ACCUUUAAGUUUAUUCUUGGUAUGAGCUUUUGUGUGCAUGCACACUUCUGCUGUAUCUGAAGAAGUGUGCAUGCACACGAAAGCUCAUACCAAGAACAAACUUAGUUGG